RNAcentral lists this ribosomal RNA (336 nucleotides) under uncultured microorganism. RNAcentral describes it as "bacterial SSU rRNA". It matches the Rfam family "Bacterial small subunit ribosomal RNA", at positions 9 to 342 of the family's 1533-position model. The record is from RNAcentral.
GAGUUUGAUCGUGGCUCAGGAUGAACGUUAGCGGCGUGCCUAACACAUGCAAGUCGAACGAACAGCCAGAAUCUUAGGAAUCUGGCGGGUUAGUGGCGCACGGGUGAGUAACACGUAGGUGACCUGCCCCGAAGUGGGGGACGAACCACUGGAAACAGUGGCUAAUGCCGCAUGUGCUUAGCCAUUCGGUUGGUUAAGUAAAGCUGAGGCGCUUCGGAGGGGCCGUGCGGUCGAUUAGCUAGUUGGUGAGGUAAUGGCUCACCAAGGCGAUGAUCGAUAGGGGCGGUGAGAGCGUGACCCCCACCACUGGACGUGAGACGACGGCCCGACGACUCC